RNAcentral lists this ribosomal RNA (467 nucleotides) under uncultured bacterium. RNAcentral describes it as "partial 16S ribosomal RNA". It matches the Rfam family "Bacterial small subunit ribosomal RNA", at positions 29 to 507 of the family's 1533-position model. The record is from RNAcentral.
ACGAACGCUGGCGGCGUGCUUAACACAUGCAAGUCGAACGGAAAGACCCUGCUUUUGUGGGGUGCUCGAGUGGCGAACGGGUGAGUAACACGUGAGUAACCUGCCCUUGACUUUUGGAUAACUUCAGGAAACUGGGGCUAAUACCGGAUAGGAGCUCCUGCUGCCUGGUGGGGGUUGGAAAGUUUCGGCGGUUGGGGAUGGACUCGCGGCUUAUCAGCUUGUUGGUGGGGUAGUGGCUUACCAAGGCUUUGACGGGUAGCCGGCCUGAGAGGGUGACCGGCCACAUUGGGACUGAGAUACGGCCCAGACUCCUACGGGAGGCAGCAGUGGGGAAUAUUGCACAAUGGGCGGAAGCCUGAUGCAGCAACGCCGCGUGCGGGAUGACGGCCUUCGGGUUGUAAACCGCUUUCGCCUGUGACGAGGCGUGAGUGACGGUAAUGGGUAAAGAAGCACCGGCUAACUACGUG